GCCACAGUUUGGGUUUUAGCAACUGAUUGGAAAGUGAUGCCAUUCACAUUGGACACGUUUAAAUUUGAGACGCUAGUGGAACAACCAUGUAUAGACACCUACUCGGCAAUCCUGCAUAUGAUCUCAACAUCAGAAGAGAGAUGUGGGCUGAUGACACAGAACUGAGAAUAGCCAGCGUUGCCACUGGGAGUAACCAUCACAUAUGUGGCAAAAAAGGCCAUUGGCGCAGAUAUAAUCACCCAGGCGGGAUGUGUAAAAUGGAAAAAGAAGGCAACCUAGAAGCAGGAUUCAACGUAUCAGAUACAGUAAUGAAGACAAUAAGAAAUUGGAUUGAUCCAGGUCUGGAGUUUUGCCACAGAGUGAAAUGGAACAACAAUAUGCAGGAGAAGUGAGGAUACUGAAUUCUACUUGAAAAUUAUACAGAAACAAUUUCUUAGAAUGCUCACAAAAGACCUGAAAACAUGGGGAGGAAGCAGGGCAUUUACAGAUGCAGUCUUGCUCUGUUGCCAGGCUGGAGUGCAGUGGCGUGAUCUCGGCUCACUGCAACCUCCGUCUCCCAGGCUCAAGCAGUUCUCCUGCCUCAGCUUCCUGAGUAGCUGGGACUACAGCUUAUAACUCAUGCAAAACAACAUGCUGCAAUGUUCUGAUGAAAUGCUCCUCUACAGUCGAGGCUCCCAGAAGGCAGAGAGCAUAUUCAUUAACUCAUUCUGCUCAACACUUAGCUCAUGUCCAUGGAGAGAUGUUGAAUAUGAGCUCCUAUUAAAAAGAGGGAAUACAAUCAAUCAUUUGAGAAUGUCCAAAAAGAACUUUUCCUUUCCAUCGAGCCUUACAAAUUAUUCUAAGAUUGUUUCUGUAAAUACCAUGUAAUUGGGAGAGAUACACAGGGAGCGUCAAUUGUGUCUGUAAUGUUUUACUGCUUAUGAUAAAAAGAUCUGAAACUAAUGUGACAAAAUACUAAGAUUUCACAGAAUUCAGUGUUGAGUGUCCUCUAAGUUAUUAUCUUUAUUCUUCAAAUAUUUCAUAAGGAAAAAGAUGGUGGGAACUUACAAUAUUUAUUAUUUUUUUGGAGAAUGGCUGGAUAAUAUACAUUGAAAUCUGCUAAGAAUUUACCAGAAGGAAGGAAAGAGAAACACACACACACACACACACACACACAGAGAGAGAGACAGAGAGAGAGAGAGAGGAAAAAAAAAUAUAUCCUUGGAAUGCCAAGCCCAAAGAUGC
RNAcentral lists this long non-coding RNA (1224 nucleotides) under Homo sapiens (human). RNAcentral describes it as "HSALNT0369436". Lineage: Eukaryota; Metazoa; Chordata; Mammalia; Primates; Hominidae. The record is from RNAcentral.